GGCUUCGUAGCUCAACUGGUAAAGCGGUUGCCGCAUUGAGGCAUGGUGUUUCUGUCGCUGGUUCGAAUCCAGCCGAAGCCC
RNAcentral lists this transfer RNA (81 nucleotides) under Paragonimus skrjabini miyazakii. RNAcentral describes it as "Paragonimus miyazakii tRNA". It matches the Rfam family "tRNA". From Rfam's summary of the family: Transfer RNA (tRNA) molecules are approximately 80 nucleotides in length. Their secondary structure includes four short double-helical elements and three loops (D, anti-codon, and T loops). Further hydrogen bonds mediate the characteristic L-shaped molecular structure. tRNAs have two regions of fundamental functional importance: the anti-codon, which is responsible for specific mRNA codon recognition, and the 3' end, to which the tRNAs corresponding amino acid is attached (by aminoacyl-tRNA synthetases). tRNAs cope with the degeneracy of the genetic code in two manners: having more than one tRNA (with a specific anti-codon) for a particular amino acid; and 'wobble' base-pairing, i.e. permitting non-standard base-pairing at the 3rd anti-codon position. The record is from Rfam by way of RNAcentral. Lineage: Eukaryota; Metazoa; Platyhelminthes; Trematoda; Plagiorchiida; Troglotrematidae.